Molecule: ribosomal RNA, 253 nt
Filed under: uncultured bacterium
Lineage: Bacteria
Description: partial 16S ribosomal RNA
Rfam family: Bacterial small subunit ribosomal RNA
Source: RNAcentral
UACGUAGGGGGCAAGCGUUGUCCGGAGUUACUGGGCGUAAAGCGCACGCAGGCGGUCUCUUAAGUUUGGAGUGACAGUUGGUGGCUUAACUGCCAAAGUGCUUCGAAAACUGAGAGACUUGAGGGCUUCAGAGGGACACGGAAUUCCGGGUGGAGUGGUGAAAUGCGUAGAGAUCCGGAAGAACACCAGUGGCGAAGGCGGCCCGCUGGGCAGUGGCUGACGCUGAGGCGCGACAGCGUGGGGAGCAAACAGG